CCUACGGGGGGCAGCAGUGAGGAAUAUUGGUCAAUGGACGAGAGUCUGAACCAGCCAAGUAGCGUGAAGGAUGACUGCCCUAUGGGUUGUAAACUUCUUUUAUAUGGGAAUAAAAUGUUCCACGUGUGGGAUUUUGUAUGUACCAUAUGAAUAAGGAUCGGCUAAAUCCGUGCCAGCAGCCGCGGUAAUACGGAGGAUCCGAGUGUUAUCCGGAUUUAUUGGGUUUAAAGGGAGCGUAGGUGGAUUGUUAAGUCAGUUGUGAAAGUUUGCGGCUCAACCGUAAAAUUGCAGUUGAAACUGGCAGUCUUGAGUACAGUAGAGGUGGGCGGAAUUCGUGGUGUAGCGGUGAAAUGCUUAGAUAUCACGAAGAACUCCGAUUGCGAAGGCAGUUCACUGGACUGCAACUGACACUGAGGCUCGAAAGUGUGGGUAUCAAACAGGAUUAGAUACCCGAGUAGUC
Molecule: ribosomal RNA, 460 nt
Filed under: uncultured bacterium
Lineage: Bacteria
Description: partial 16S ribosomal RNA
Rfam family: Bacterial small subunit ribosomal RNA
Source: RNAcentral